Apodemus sylvaticus (European woodmouse) is the source of this 2529-nucleotide RNA transcript. It is a transcript of the gene named dystrobrevin beta, with no coding region annotated. The record is from RefSeq and is a predicted model, not a curated record. The transcript is spliced from 22 exons. NCBI's taxonomy places the organism in Eukaryota, Metazoa, Chordata, Mammalia, Rodentia, Muridae.
GCCCUCGCCCUCGCCCUCGCGCCCUCGCGCCGGGGGCGGGCUCGCUGCGCGUGCCGGGCGGGGAAGCGGCGCGAGCCGGCGCCGGGAACCUUCGCCGCGGGGGCGGCUCCGGGGCCUGAGUGGGCGCCGCCGCCGCCGCCACCUCAGUCGCUGCCGCUGCUUCAGCCGCCUCAGCCGAGGGGGCCGGGUCGGAGGAGGCUGCGGCCGCCGGAGAGCCACGCGACGGCCCCUCAGCUCCGGCCGGGAAGCGAGCCAGUGUUUGCAAUUAAAAAUAAAGCCAGUUGGAGCUAGUUGUGGUGGAGCACAUCUUUAAUCCCAGCACCUUCCAGCACCAGGAUGAUCGAGGAAGGUGGGAACAAGCGGAAGACAAUGGCGGAGAAGAGGCAGCUCUUCAUAGAAAUGCGUGCUCAGAAUUUUGAUGUCAUACGACUAUCAACAUACAGAACAGCUUGCAAGUUACGAUUUGUACAGAAGCGAUGCAACCUUCAUCUUGUUGAUAUCUGGAACAUGAUUGAAGCUUUCCGAGACAAUGGCCUUAACACACUGGACCACACCACGGAGAUCAGCGUGUCCCGCCUGGAGACCGUCAUCUCUUCCAUCUACUAUCAGUUGAACAAGCGCCUUCCUUCUACUCACCAAAUCAGCGUGGAGCAGUCCAUCAGUCUCCUCCUCAACUUCAUGAUCGCCGCCUAUGACAGUGAGGGCCGAGGCAAGUUGACCGUGUUUUCAGUUAAAGCUAUGUUAGCAACCAUGUGUGGUGGGAAAAUGCUGGACAAAUUGAGAUACAUUUUCUCCCAGAUGUCAGAUUCCAAUGGCUUAAUGAUGUUUGGCAAGCUUGACCAGUUUCUGAAGGAAGCCCUGAAGCUCCCAACAGCUGUCUUUGAAGGGCCAUCUUUCGGUUACACAGAGCACGCAGUCCGGACCUGUUUUCCGCAGCAGAAGAAGAUAAUGCUGAAUAUGUUUUUAGACACCAUGAUGGCCGACCCUCCUCCCCAGUGCCUUGUCUGGCUACCUCUCAUGCACAGGCUUGCCCAUGUGGAGAAUGUCUUCCAUCCUGUGGAAUGUUCCUACUGUCACUGCGAGAGCAUGAUGGGCUUCCGAUACCGGUGUCAGCAGUGCCACAGCUACCAGCUCUGCCAGAACUGCUUUUGGCGUGGCCAUGCCAGUGGCCCUCACAGCAACCAGCACCAGAUGAAGGAGCAUUCCUCUUGGAAAUCCCCUGCAAAGAAGCUGAGCCAUGCAAUUAGUAAAUCUUUGGGAUGUGUACCCUCCAGAGAACCCCCACAUCCUGUUUUUCCUGAGCAACCAGAGAAACCACUUGACCUUGCACAUAUAGUUCCUCCUCGCCCUCUGACCAAUAUGAAUGACACCGUGGUUAGCCACAUGUCCUCUGGAGUGCCCACUCCCACUAAGAGGUUACAGCAUAGCCAAGACAUGCGCAGUCUCUUGGCCGAUGAGCAUGCGCUGAUAGCCUCCUAUGUGGCCCGUCUGCAACACUGCACACGUGUCCUGGACAGUCCUAGCCGACUGGAUGAAGAACACCGGCUUAUAGCCCGCUAUGCUGCCCGGCUAGCUGCAGAGGCAGGAAACAUGACUCGUCCUCCCACUGAUGCCAGCUUCAACUUUGAUGCCAACAAACAACAGAGACAGCUCAUCGCAGAACUGGAGAACAAGAACAGAGAGAUCCUGCAGGAGAUCCAGCGUCUGCGGCUGGAGCACGAACAGGCUUCCCAGCCCACUCCUGAGAAGGCCCAGCAGAACCCCACGCUGCUGGCAGAGCUGCGCUUGCUGAGGCAAAGGAAAGAUGAGCUAGAGCAGAGGAUGUCAGCGCUGCAGGAGAGUAGGCGGGAGCUGAUGGUGCAGCUGGAGGGACUGAUGAAGCUGCUAAAGGAGGAAGAGCAAAAGCAGGCAGCUCAAGCCGCCGGGUCACCACACACAUCACCCACCCAUGGAAGUGGCCGCCCUAUGCCCAUGCCUGUGCGUUCCACGUCUGCUGGCUCCACCCCGACCCACGGCCCACAGGACUCACUGAGUGGAGUUGGGGGAGACGUACAGGAGGCCUUUGCACAAGGUACGAGGAGAAACCUCCGCAAUGACCUGCUGGUGGCUGCUGACUCCAUCACCAACACCAUGUCCUCCCUGGUGAAGGAGCUCCACUCAGGAGAGAUUACACAUGUAUCCUGAUUGGCUUUCACAGCUCAGGUUAGCCCAGGAACAGCCAGGACGCAGGAAGCUCAGGCGCAGAGGCAGAGGAGCAAGCUGGCACCGAGAGGACAAGGGAAGGUCUUCCCCCAGAGGCACAUUCCGAUCCGUCUUUCUGCUGCACACCUGGACCAAGCUCGCAGGCUGCCAGACUCAUUCACCCUCCUGAGAGAGGAGCCAAGCCUGUGGGAGUGGGGCGGGGCUGCCUGAGGCCGCAGCUGCUGGGCCUCCUGCAUGCACUAGCAUCUGCAUUCCUCCCUCAGGGCAUGGGCUCACCUCUGCAUCAGGAAUUUACCAGGAGAUGGAAAAGAAAAGAAAAAGUGCUGA